CCGUUCCCCGCCGCAAGCGGGACCCGCCGGGCUGGGGACAGGUUUUUGGGGGGUCUCCCAUGGUGCCCCCUCCCCAGAAAGCUCCAAGGGCCCCCUGAAGUGGCUCCUGUUCCACCGGCCGGUGCUCCCUGAUCCAGGACGGCCCCACACAAACAGAACAAGACAACUGGGGAUAAAAGCAUCAUAUAGUCAACCUAUAACACUGCUACACUCAGGGAGAACAGAGCAAGUUCUGUGAGGCAAAGUGGUGAGUGGAGAGUGAGGGGAGAUGGUCUGUCAUUCUGACCUGUUCAGAGUUUCUCUGGGAUUUAACCUUUCUCAGGUGGAGGGUCAUCACCUUCCAACCUUUCCCUUAAAAAGUGACCAGGUGCUGCUGAGAGCAGAUGGAUCCACCACAGCCCAGCUCCACAUUUGUAGACAAGGACUCACGUUGCUCAUUCCACCAACCCAGCAGCAUUUUCAGUGUCACAACACCUCUGCCUUUCCCUGUCAAUCUUAUAACUCAGAGAUGCCCUAGGACAGAUUUGUACCCUGGACUGAAGUUCCCAGCUUGGGCUGAAAUCUCAGGGAGACUUCCAAGUGUUCCUAUGAUGGCAUUGGAUGAAGGGAGAUGCAGCUCCUUCCCUGGCUGCACUGACAGCAUUGCUCAGAGCCAGGCACUGGGGACAGCGUCACCCUGAGCCAGCUGUGCCCCCUGCCAGAGCCCCCAGGGCCGGGCAGCUGUCCCAGCCCUGUGCUCUGCAGAGGGAACUGGGCCUGGGGCUGCAGAGCUGCCCCACGGCUCUGCUGCAGCUCUGCCUGCACAGGAGGGGCUGCACACCUUGGAGCCCCGGCCCUGAGGGCAGAGGCUUGGCUGGGGGCACAGGAGGGAGGGGGCUUUUUCAGAGGGAGGGGCUGAACUGGAGGAGAUCCUGUGGACAUCUCUGAUCUCUCCCUGCGACAGCGUUUCUGAGUUUGGUUUUCUCUCAUUGCCUGAUCUUCUCUCUUCCUGGAGAUUUUCCUCCUGCAGGUGUUUCCCUGUGCCUGAUCUCUCUGUGCCAGCAUUCACAGACCCUAAAUCUCUGGGCACUCUCCUUGGCUUGACAGAACCCUCCCUGUUUGCAGGGCACUGGCUGGGGCAGGUUCUGUUUGCAGCUUGGAAAAAGGACAGCUCAGACUGAGUCUGAUGGCUCCAGCAAAUGUGAAUCUUGGGCUGUCCAUGGGCAGAGUGGCUGCUUUGGCGGGGCUUGACAGCUGGCCUGCAAGCAAAGCUGAGUUAAUAGAAGAAAUAACAAUUGAUGAUUUUCGGUGUAUCCAUAGCAAGGAAGAAGACAAGGCCGUCAGCAUGGAAACCGAUUAGAAAAGAUACAUGAGAAUUUUUGUAAGCUAGACUACGUGCCUAAGUGGAUGUGUAUACAUGCCUUAUUAAAUUUCUGUAAAACUUUUGCCAAUUAUAUUGACACUGAUUGCUUGGCACCAAUGAAUAUAAAAAGUUAUUGUGAUGUAGUUAAUAACUUAAGAUCACGCUUUGUUAAGGGUGUAUGAACUGGAGAAGAUGCAGAAUAAAAACUUUUUUUCUUCCUGGA
Molecule: long non-coding RNA, 1565 nt
Organism: Haemorhous mexicanus (house finch)
Lineage: Eukaryota; Metazoa; Chordata; Aves; Passeriformes; Fringillidae
Exons: 3
Source: RefSeq, a predicted model, not a curated record